RNAcentral lists this transfer RNA (87 nucleotides) under Candidatus Berkelbacteria bacterium CG1_02_42_45. RNAcentral's name for it is "tRNA-Leu". It matches the Rfam family "tRNA". From Rfam's summary of the family: Transfer RNA (tRNA) molecules are approximately 80 nucleotides in length. RNAcentral also lists the same sequence under 2 other names. The record is from RNAcentral. Lineage: Bacteria; Candidatus Berkelbacteria.
GCCGAGGUGGCGAAAUUGGCACACGCACUACCUUGAGGUGGUAGCGCUCGCAAGAGCAUGGAGGUUCGAGUCCUCUCCUCGGCACCA